UACGGAGGGUGCGAGCGUUAAUCGGAAUUAUUGGGCGUAAAGGGUGCGUAGGUGGUUUGGUAAGUUAGUUGUGAAAGUCCUGGGCUUAACCUAGGGAUGUCGACUAAGACUGCUGGACUUGAGUAAAGUAGAGGGUAGUGAAAUUUCCGGUGUAGCGGUGAAAUGCGUAGAGAUCGGAAGGAACACCGGUGGCGAAGGCGGCUACCUGGGCUAUUACUGACACUGAGGCACGAAAGCGUGGGGAGCAAACAGG
This 253-nucleotide ribosomal RNA is filed under the name uncultured bacterium. Its description in RNAcentral is "partial 16S ribosomal RNA". It matches the Rfam family "Bacterial small subunit ribosomal RNA", at positions 524 to 776 of the family's 1533-position model. The record is from RNAcentral.